RNAcentral lists this long non-coding RNA (391 nucleotides) under Mytilus galloprovincialis (Mediterranean mussel). The record is from RNAcentral. Lineage: Eukaryota; Metazoa; Mollusca; Bivalvia; Mytilida; Mytilidae.
AUGUGGUAUGAUUGCCAAUGAGACAACAAUCCACAAAAGACCAAAAUGACACAGACAUUAACAACUAUAGGUCACCGUACGGCCUUCAACAAUGAGCAAAGCCCAUACCGCAAAGUCAGCUAUAAAAGGCCUCGAUAAGACAAUGUAAAACAAUUCAAACGAGAAAACUAACGGCCUUAUUUAUGUAAAAAAAAAUGAACGAAAAACAAAUAUGUAACACAUAAACAAACGACAACCACUGAAUUACAGGCUUCUGACUUGGGACAGGCAAAUGAAUAAAUAAUGUGGCGGGGUUAAACAUGUUAGCGGGAUCCCAACCCUCCCCCUAACCUGGGACAGUGGUAUAACAGUACAACAUAAGAACGAACUAUAAAAAUCAGUUGAAAAAGGC